CGGCGAGUGAAGCGGCAACAGCUCAAAUUUGAAAUCUGGCCUCGGCCCGAGUUGUAAUUUGCAGAGGAUGCUUCUGGCGCGGUGCCUUCCGAGUUCCCUGGAACGGGACGCCACAGAGGGUGAGAGCCCCGUAUGGUCGGACACCAAGCCUGUGUGAAGCUCCUUCGACGAGUCGAGUAGUUUGGGAAUGCUGCUCUAAAUGGGAGGUAAAUCUCUUCUAAAGCUAAAUACCGGCCAGAGACCGAUAGCGCACAAGUAGAGUGAUCGAAAGAUGAAAAGCACCUUGAAAAGGGGGUUAAAUAGUACGUGAAAUUGUUGAAAGGGAAGCACUUAUGACCAGACUUGGGCCGGGCGGCUCAUCAGGGGUUCUCCCCUGUGCACUCCGCCCGGCACAGGCCAGCAUCGGUUCUCGUGGGGGGAUAAGACCGUCAGGAACGUAGCACCCUCCGGGGUGUGUUAUAGCCUGGCGGACGAUACCCCCGUGGGGACCGAGGUCCGCGCAAGGAUGCUGGCGUAAUGGUCAUCAGUGACCCGUCUUGAAACACGGACCAAGGAGUCGUCCAUUAGAGCGAGCGUUUGGGUGUAAAACCCGCACGCGUAAUGAAAGUGAACGCAGGUGAGAGCUUCGGCGCAUCAUCGACCGAUCCUGAUGUUCUCGGAAGGAUUUGAGUAAGAGUUUUAACGGACGGACCCGAAAGACAGUGAACUAUGCUUGUAUAGGGUGAAGCCAGAGGAAACUCUGGUGGAGGCUCGCAGCGGUUCUGACGUGCAAAUCGAUCGUCAAAUAUGAGCAUGGGGGCGAAAG
Molecule: ribosomal RNA, 805 nt
Filed under: fungal sp. BG1
Lineage: Eukaryota; Fungi
Description: eukaryotic LSU rRNA
Rfam family: Eukaryotic large subunit ribosomal RNA
Source: RNAcentral